GACGAACGCUGGCGGCGUGCUUAACACAUGCAAGUCGAACGGAAAGGCCCUGCUUUUGUGGGGUGCUCGAGUGGCGAACGGGUGAGUAACACGUGAGUAACCUGCCCUUGACUUUGGGAUAACUUCAGGAAACUGGGGCUAAUACCGGAUAGGAGCUCCUGCUGCAUGGUGGGGGUUGGAAAGUUUCGGCGGUUGGGGAUGGACUCGCGGCUUAUCAGCUUGUUGGUGGGGUAGUUGCUUACCAAGGCUUUGACGGGUAGCCGGCCUGAGAGGGUGACCGGGCACAUUGGGACUGAGAUACGGCGCAGACUCCUACGGGAGGCAGCAGUGGGGAAUAUUGCACAAUGGGCGGAAGCCUGAUGCAGAAACGCCGCGUGCGGGAUGACGGCCUUCGGGUUAUAAACCGCUUUCGCCUGUGACGAAGCGUGAGUGACGGUAAUGGGUAAAGAAGCACCGGCUAACUACGUG
RNAcentral lists this ribosomal RNA (468 nucleotides) under uncultured bacterium. RNAcentral's name for it is "partial 16S ribosomal RNA". It matches the Rfam family "Bacterial small subunit ribosomal RNA", at positions 28 to 507 of the family's 1533-position model. The record is from RNAcentral.